AGUGCUAAGUGUUAGAGGGUUUCCGCCCUUUAGUGCUGCAGCAAACGCAUUAAGCACUCCGCCUGGGGAGUACGGCCGCAAGGCUGAAACUCAUAGGAAUUGACGGGGGCCCGCACAAGCGGUGGAGCAUGUGGUUUAAUUCGAAGCAACGCGAAGAACCUUACCAGGUCUUGACAUCCUCUGACAACCCUAGAGAUAGGGCGUUCCCCUUCGGGGGACAGAGUGACAGGUGGUGCAUGGUUGUCGUCAGCUCGUGUCGUGAGAUGUUGGGUUAAGUCCCGCAACGAGCGCAACCCUUGAUCUUAGUUGCCAGCAUUCAGUUGGGCACUCUAAGGUGACUGCCGGUGACAAACCGGAGGAAGGUGGGGAUGACGUCAAAUCAUCAUGCCCCUUAUGACCUGGGCUACACACGUGCUACAAUGGAUGGAACAAAGGGCAGCGAAGCCGCGAGGUGAAGCCAAUCCCAUAAAACCAUUCUCAGUUCGGAUUGCAGGCUGCAACUCGCCUGCAUGAAGCCGGAAUCGCUAGUAAUCGCGGAUCAGCA
RNAcentral lists this ribosomal RNA (544 nucleotides) under uncultured bacterium. RNAcentral's name for it is "bacterial SSU rRNA". It matches the Rfam family "Bacterial small subunit ribosomal RNA", at positions 812 to 1354 of the family's 1533-position model. The record is from RNAcentral.